GAUGAACGCUGGCGGCGUGCCUAAUACACGCAAGUCGAGCGCAGGAAAUCGACGGAACCCUUCGGGGGGAAGUCGACGGAAUGAGCGGCGGACGGGUGAGCAACACGUAAAGAACCUGCCCUCAGGUCUGGGAUAACCACGAGAAAUCGGGGCUAAUACCGGAUGGGUCAUCGGACCGCAUGGUCCGAGGAUGAAAGGCGCUUCGGCGGCGCCGGGGGAUGGCGUUGGGGUGCAUUAGCUAGUUGGUGGGGUAAUGGCCCACCAAGGCGACGAUGCAUAGCCGACCUGAGAGGGUGAUCGGCCACACUGGGACUGAGACACGGCCCAGACUCCUACGGGAGGCAGCAGUAGGGAAUCUUCCACAAUGGACGAAAGUCUGAUGGAGCAACGCCGCGUGAACGAUGAAGGCCUUCGGGUCGUAAAGUUCUGUUGUAAGGGAAGAACAAGUGCCGCAGGCAAUGGCGGCACCUUGACGGUACCUUGCGAGAAAGCCACGGCUAACUACGUGCCAGCCGCCGCGGUAA
RNAcentral lists this ribosomal RNA (524 nucleotides) under uncultured bacterium. Its description in RNAcentral is "partial 16S ribosomal RNA". It matches the Rfam family "Bacterial small subunit ribosomal RNA", at positions 28 to 523 of the family's 1533-position model. The record is from RNAcentral.